CACCGCGGUUAUACGAGAGGCCCAAGUUGAUAGCCGCCGGCGUAAAGAGUGGUUAAUAAGCCCCAAAUACUAAAGCCGAACAUCUUCAAAGCUGUUAUACGCAACCGAAGACAGGAAGACCCUCCACGAAAGUGGCUUUAAACCUUAUGACCCCACGAAAGCUAGGACA
Molecule: ribosomal RNA, 169 nt
Filed under: Ophiocara porocephalum (northern mud gudgeon)
Lineage: Eukaryota; Metazoa; Chordata; Actinopteri; Gobiiformes; Eleotridae
Description: partial small subunit ribosomal RNA
Source: RNAcentral